UGGGGAAUAUUGGACAAUGGGCGCAAGCCUGAUCCAGCCAUGCCGCGUGAGUGAUGAAGGCCCUAGGGUUGUAAAGCUCUUUCACCGGUGAAGAUAAUGACGGUAACCGGAGAAGAAGCCCCGGCUAACUUCGUGCCAGCAGCCGCGGUAAUACGAAGGGGGCUAGCGUUGUUCGGAUUUACUGGGCGUAAAGCGCACGUAGGCGGACUUUUAAGUCAGGGGUGAAAUCCCGGGGCUCAACCCCGGAACUGCCUUUGAUACUGGAAGUCUGGAGUAUGGUAGAGGUGAGUGGAAUUCCGAGUGUAGAGGGGAAAUUCGUAGAUAUUCGGAGGAACACCAGGGGCGAAGGCGGCUAACUGGACAAUUACUGACGCAGAGGUGCGAAAGCGGGGGGAGCAAACAGG
Molecule: ribosomal RNA, 404 nt
Filed under: Actinomycetes bacterium
Lineage: Bacteria; Bacillati; Actinomycetota; Actinomycetes
Description: Actinobacteria bacterium partial 16S ribosomal RNA
Rfam family: Bacterial small subunit ribosomal RNA
Source: RNAcentral